Molecule: ribosomal RNA, 400 nt
Filed under: uncultured Alphaproteobacteria bacterium
Lineage: Bacteria; Pseudomonadati; Pseudomonadota; Alphaproteobacteria
Description: bacterial SSU rRNA
Rfam family: Bacterial small subunit ribosomal RNA
Source: RNAcentral
CCUUCGGGCAAGCGGCGGCACGGGUUAGUAACGCGUGGGAACGUACCCUUCUCUAAGGAAUAGCCCCGGGAAACUGAGAGUAAUACCUUAUACGCCCUUCGGGGGAAAGAUUUAUCGGGGAAGGAUCGGCCCGCGUCUGAUUAGAUAGUUGGUGGGGUAAUGGCCUACCAAGUCUACGAUCAGUAGCUGGUUUGAGAGGAUGAUCAGCAACACUGGGACUGAGACACGGCCCAGACUCCUACGGGAGGCAGCAGUGGGGAAUCUUAGACAAUGGGCGCAAGCCUGAUCUAGCGAUGCCGCGUGAGUGAUGAAGGUCUUAGGAUCGUAAAGCUCUUUCGCCAGGGAUGAUAAUGACAGUACCUGGUAAAGAAACCCCGGCUAACUCCGUGCCAGCAGCCGC